This 73-nucleotide transfer RNA is filed under the name Prevotellaceae bacterium. RNAcentral describes it as "tRNA-Pro". It matches the Rfam family "tRNA". Rfam says of the family: Transfer RNA (tRNA) molecules are approximately 80 nucleotides in length. Their secondary structure includes four short double-helical elements and three loops (D, anti-codon, and T loops). Lineage: Bacteria; Pseudomonadati; Bacteroidota; Bacteroidia; Bacteroidales; Prevotellaceae. The record is from RNAcentral.
CGGGGUGUAGCGCAGUUGGUAGCGUAUUACGUUCGGGACGUAGCGGUCGCCGGUUCGAGUCCGGUCACCCCGA